GAUGAACGCUGGCGGCGUGCCUAAUACAUGCAAGUCGAGCGAACGGACGAGAAGCUUGCUUUUCUGAUGUUAGCGGCGGACGGGUGAGUAACACGUGGAUAACCUACCUAUAAGACUGGGAUAACUUCGGGAAACCGGAGCUAAUACCGGAUAAUAUUUUGAACCGCAUGGUUCAAAAGUGAAAGACGGUCUUGCUGUCACUUAUAGAUGGAUCCGCGCUGCAUUAGCUAGUUGGUAAGGUAACGGCUUACCAAGGCAACGAUGCAUAGCCGACCUGAGAGGGUGAUCGGCCACACUGGAACUGAGACACGGUCCAGACUCCUACGGGAGGCAGCAGUAGGGAAUCUUCCGCAAUGGGCGAAAGCCUGACGGAGCAACGCCGCGUGAGUGAUGAAGGUCUUCGGAUCGUAAAACUCUGUUAUUAGGGAAGAACAUAUGUGUAAGUAACUGUGCACAUCUUGACGGUACCUAAUCAGAAAGCCACGGCUAACUACGUGCCAGCAGCCGCGGUAAUACGUAGGUGGCAAGCGUUAUCCGGAAUUAUUGGGCGUAAAGCGCGCGUAGGCGGUUUUUUAAGUCUGAUGUGAAAGCCCACGGCUCAACCGUGGAGGGUCAUUGGAAACUGGAAAACUUGAGUGCAGAAGAGGAAAGUGGAAUUCCAUGUGUAGCGGUGAAAUGCGCAGAGAUAUGGAGGAACACCAGUGGCGAAGGCGACUUUCUGGUCUGUAACUGACGCUGAUGUGCGAAAGUGUGGGGAUCAAACAGGAUUAGAUACCCUGGUAGUCCACGCCGUAAACGAUGAGUGCUAAGUGUUAGGGGGUUUCCGCCCCUUAGUGCUGCAGCUAACGCAUUAAGCACUCCGCCUGGGGAGUACGACCGCAAGGUUGAAACUCAAAGGAAUUGACGGGGACCCGCACAAGCGGUGGAGCAUGUGGUUUAAUUCGAAGCAACGCGAAGAACCUUACCAAAUCUUGACAUCCUUUGACAACUCUAGAGAUAGAGCCUUCCCCUUCGGGGGACAAAGUGACAGGUGGUGCAUGGUUGUCGUCAGCUCGUGUCGUGAGAUGUUGGGUUAAGUCCCGCAACGAGCGCAACCCUUAAGCUUAGUUGCCAUCAUUAAGUUGGGCACUCUAAGUUGACUGCCGGUGACAAACCGGAGGAAGGUGGGGAUGACGUCAAAUCAUCAUGCCCCUUAUGAUUUGGGCUACACACGUGCUACAAUGGACAAUACAAAGGGCAGCGAAACCGCGAGGUCAAGCAAAUCCCAUAAAGUUGUUCUCAGUUCGGAUUGUAGUCUGCAACUCGACUACAUGAAGCUGGAAUCGCUAGUAAUCGUAGAUCAGCAUGCUACGGUGAAUACGUUCCCGGGUCU
This 1372-nucleotide ribosomal RNA is filed under the name uncultured bacterium. Its description in RNAcentral is "bacterial SSU rRNA". It matches the Rfam family "Bacterial small subunit ribosomal RNA", at positions 28 to 1381 of the family's 1533-position model. The record is from RNAcentral.